GACGAACGCUGGCGGCGUGCCUAAUACAUGCAAGUCGAACGGUCUUUUCUAUGGAAGCUUGCUUCCGCUGAGAAGAUAGUGGCGAACGGGUGAGUAACACGUGGGUAACCUGCCCAUAAGAGGGGGAUAACAUCCGGAAACGGGUGCUAAUACCGCAUAGUUUUCUUGAUCGCAUGAUUGAGAAAGGAAAGACGGCCUUUGUGCUGUCGCUUAUGGAUGGACCCGCGGCGUAUUAGUUAGUUGGUGAGGUAACGGCUCACCAAGACGAUGAUACGUAGCCGACCUGAGAGGGUGAUCGGCCACAUUGGGACUGAGACACGGCCCAAACUCCUACGGGAGGCAGCAGUAGGGAAUCUUCCGCAAUGGACGAAAGUCUGACGGAGCAACGCCGCGUGAGUGAAGAAGGUUUUCGGAUCGUAAAACUCUGUUGUCAGAGAAGAACAAGUUGGAGAGUAACUGCUCCAGCCUUGACGGUAUCUGACCAGAAAGCCACGGCUAACUACGUGCCAGCAGCCGCGGUAAUACGUAGGUGGCAAGCGUUGUCCGGAUUUAUUGGGCGUAAAGCGAGCGCAGGCGGUUCCUUAAGUCUGAUGUGAAAGCCCACGGCUCAACCGUGGAAGGUCAUUGGAAACUGGGGAACUUGAGUGCAGAAGAGGAGAGUGGAGUUC
This 668-nucleotide ribosomal RNA is filed under the name uncultured Bacillota bacterium. RNAcentral describes it as "bacterial SSU rRNA". It matches the Rfam family "Bacterial small subunit ribosomal RNA", at positions 28 to 669 of the family's 1533-position model. Lineage: Bacteria; Bacillati; Bacillota. The record is from RNAcentral.